CCCUACGGGGGGCAGCAGGGAAUUUUCGUCAAUGGGCGCAAGCCUGAACGAGCAAUGCCGCGUGAACGAGGAAGGUCUUCGGAUCGUAAAGUUCUGUUGAAGGGGAAAAAGAGCGGAGAGAGGAAAUGCUUUCUGAUUGAUAUUACCCUUCGAGGAAGUCACGGCUAACUACGUGCCAGCAGCCGCGGUAAUACGUAGGUGGCGAGCGUUAUCCGGAAUGAUUGGGCGUAAAGGGUGCGUAGGCGGCCUGCUAAGUCUGGAGUGAAAGGUACCGGCUCAACCGGUACAGGCUCUGGAAACUGGCG
RNAcentral lists this ribosomal RNA (305 nucleotides) under uncultured bacterium. RNAcentral's name for it is "bacterial SSU rRNA". It matches the Rfam family "Bacterial small subunit ribosomal RNA", at positions 337 to 638 of the family's 1533-position model. The record is from RNAcentral.